Cucumis melo (muskmelon) is the source of this 8707-nucleotide long non-coding RNA. RefSeq lists it as uncharacterized. The record is from RefSeq and is a predicted model, not a curated record. Lineage: Eukaryota; Viridiplantae; Streptophyta; Magnoliopsida; Cucurbitales; Cucurbitaceae. The transcript is spliced from 6 exons.
AACCAUGGCUUUACAAAUUAUCUCCCUCGCCAAUCUCUCCAGCAUUGUCUUAUUCCGUCUCCAUGCACGGUGGUCCGUGCACGAAUUAGGGUUUCGUGUCUCGCAUCGUGGCUAUGUUUGAGAGGGGUAGAGAGAUAUUGAGAAGGGCAGAGAAAUUGAUGGCAAUCCUGAUUUUUCGAACAAGGACGUUGGAGCAUCUCAGACACAGAUGUUAGCGGAAGUGAAAUCCGGCAUAAUGUCUUCUUUAAAUCAAGUGGAGCUCCCGCUAGAGGUUGCAACGCCAUCAAAUUCUGGAAAUCAUACUCACCUGUUAUCUGAGAGUAUCGUUAAUCAUGAUUGUUGAGUGAGGGUGUUAAUACAACCUUUUUUGACACUGGCAUGGAUGCUCAAGAACCUCUUGAUGUUGUGCCUGACGCUCUCCGCCAUAAACUGGGACAUCGUUUCACAACAACGAGUUUAUGAGGAUUUUGUUAGGCUUCCGUUGUAAAAUCAAAAUAGCCAAGCUGCACAGUCUAUUGGUUGUUCCUUCUUUCCCCUCGGCUGCUUCAGCCCCUGAGCUACAUGCAGUUGACACAUCUGACAGUAUAAAGGAACCUGUAUCCUCUACCCAGCACUUGCCCUCACCAAUCACUAUCGAUCGGCUUGCAACUUCUAUGUCUGAACCCUCAUUUACUACUAGAGAUGCAUUGGAUAAAUUUCAAGUUAUUUCUCAGAAGUGCUAAGACUUUGCAAGAUGUUGAAGAGGUUCCUGAACAUAAAGGAUUAUUACUUUCAAGGACUCCUAUUGAACUGAAAGGCGCAUGUUGGUCAGUUAAAGUAGUUCUGUGGAUUGGGGGUAGAAUACUUUCUAUGACCCACCUUCCUUCAGGGAUACAAUGGCUCCAAGGCAUAAUUGAAAUCAAUGGUAUGAAAAGUACAGUGGUGCGAAGUACUCAUCUGCUGGAUUUACGAAGUAAUAUAGCAUCAUUAAGUAAAUUCUCAAACCCUUGCGUGAAUAAUCUCAAUACUUCAUUCUGAAUAUGAACUCGUAGUAUAGAAGUCUAUGUUUGUUGACAAGUGAAAUAAUUGAUAAAUGUUUUUCUUAAACUUUAGGGGAGUAUUUGUUUAUAGAAUUCAAUAAAUUGAAAUGUAUACUUGAGUGGUAUUACUUAUACAUUCUUAAGAGUAGAAUAGGAAUUUACUCCCAAGUCAAAGCUACAUAAAUGUUCAAGUUAGCUUUUGUUUGUUUUGUUUUUUAUAAUGAAAAUCCUAGCUUUCAUUUGAGAUCAAAUGAAAGAAAACAAAGUAACAUAAGAAAAACCAAAAAAGGGGUCCGAGUAAGCAACAAAGAAGACCUAAAGGGUAAUUAAUAGACACUUUUAUAUAACUUUUUUUAGAGAGAAAAUAGAACUUUUCAUUGAUAAAAUGAAAAGAAAACAAUAAGAAAAAGAAAGACAACAAUAGAUAAGCGACCACAACCUAAUAUAAAACAAAGAUCAACCAUGAAAGAUAUAAAAACUCCCAAUUCAGACAAUAGAGUAGCCAACUAGAUUAAGUUUAAUAUAAUGCAUGAAGAGAUUUACCAUGGACAAUAAAUGAAUGUUGCCUUGAUGCGUGACAUUGGACUCAAAGUAUUUCAUUGAAGAAAUUUUGUCAUUCUUUAGAUAAAGGAUUAUCAAUGUGAACUAAGUGCUCAAGUAUUACAUUAAGUGAUAUGUCAUAGGCAUGGACAAGGGAAGAUAGCAUUGGAUUAAAGCGUGAAUUUGGACUAUAGUUCUUUAUUAAAGAAUUCUUCUCAUUCUUUGAAUAAAUGAUUAGCCAAUUGAACAAAGUGUUGAGAUAGUUCACUAAGUGAUUUGCCAUGGACACGAAGAUGGGAAAAUAACAAUAGACCAUGCAACUGAAUUAGGAAAAGGACACUUGUGAAGGACUAUUAAGUAGAAUGAUGUAUGUAAUGAGAAAGGAAGAUAAGUUGAGAUACAUGAAUUUUGGAUUGAGGAGUGAGAUUGGACUACAAUUUUUCGAUUAAAGAAGUCCUUUCAUUCUUUGAAAAAAAGAUUAGUCAAUUGGGUUAAGUGUUAAUAAAAGGCACGAAGUGAUCUGCUUUGUUCAUGAAUUUGGGAAAAGAAGAUGAUUUAUGGAAAUAACAUUUAGAAAAGGGUCAUGGAGAUCUAUUAAAUGGAAGAAACAUAAGUUAGGAAUGAGAAUUUUCGAUUAAAGUGUGACAUUGGACUUUAAGUUUUUGAUUGAAAAACUCUAGGUCAUGGAUUUGGAUAUGGUAAUAUAAUACUAGACUACAUAAGUUAAAUAGAAAAAAAUGCACAUGGAGGACUAUUUAUGCCCAUGUAUGUUGUGAGGAAGGAAGAUGAAUUAGGUUACAAGAAUUUUGGAUUAAAGGUCGAGAUUAAUGAAUUGGAUGAAUCGUUUAUAUAAGAGAUGAAAUGUUUUGCAGUGGACAUGGAUAUGCGAUAAAAAAGUUUGGUUAUACAUAUGAAAUUGGAAAAGGACAUGGAUUACUGUUGAUUGCACAAACAAAAGAAAUUUUAGAAUACAUAAGUUUUAAAUAGAAGUGUGGCAUUACUUCAAGUUUUGUAUUAAAAAUCUCUUGCAAUUCUUUGGGCAAAGGAUUAUCAAAUUGGAUUAAGUACUAAGAUAGUGCAUUAAGUGAUUUGUCAUGGACAUAUGAGAGGAUAACAAUACACCACGCCACUGAAUGAGGAAAAGGAUACAUAUAAGAUUAGCUUUUAUUCAAUUAUAAGUUUUUGAUUACACAAGUCUUUUCAUUUAUUGAAAUAAGAUUAGUCAAUUGAGUUUAAUGUUAAUAUAAUUCACGAAGUGACUAGCCUUAGUCAUGGAAGAAAAAAAUGGCUAUAGAAAUGAAAUUGAGAAAUAUAAACCAAACCAAGGACUAUAGACAACAAAAAAAAAGAGAAGUUAGGAUAAGAGAGUUUUGUAUUAAAGUGUGGCAUUGUGUGAGCUUCAAAUUUUGGAUUAAAGAACUUUUGUCAUUGUAUGGAAAAAGGAUUAUCAAAUUGGAUUAAGUGUGAAGACGACACAUUAAGAGUGAGAUUAACUAAUUAAAUUAAGUUUUUACUCGGGAUUAGGUAAGAUCCUAUAGACAUGAUUAUACAAAAAAAGAUUUGCUAUGCAAACAUAAUUGGAAAAAGACACAUGGAUAACUAUAAACAACACAAAAAGAAAAGUAAGGAUAUGCGAGUUUUGGAUGGACAUUGGAUAUAAUGUUUUGUAUUAAAGACUCUUGCCAUUGUUUGGAAAAAGAAUUACCAAAUUGGAUUAAGUGUUGGGAUGGUGCGCUAAGCUUAAGUUUUUACUUAAGGGAUUAGAUGAGAUCCAUGGACAUGGUUAUAGGAAAAAAAGUUCAAUUAUGCAAAUAUAAUUGGAAAAAGAGACAUGAAGGACUAUAGAUGACACGAAAAGAAAAUGUAGGAUACGAGAGUUUUGGAUUCAAAUAUGGUAUUGGAUGUCAAGUUUACAUUUGAGUAACUCUUGGCAUUGUUUGUAGAAAUGAUUAUAAAAUUGGAUUUAGUGCUGAUAUAGUGCUGUAAGAGUAAUAACCAAUUGGAUUAAGUUUUUGUUUGACAGAUGAGGUUAUUAUUUACCAUGGACAUGGAUAUAGGAAGAAAAGUUCGGCUAUACAAAUGACAUUGGAAAAAUACACAUUAAGGACUAUAGACAUCACAAAAAAGGAAAGGAUAGUGGAUUAAGAGUGAGAUAAACCUAUUACAUAAAACUUUUAUUUGAGGAAUAAGGUGUUUUGCCAUGAAGAUGGUUAUAGGAAAAAUGUUUGGUUAUACAAAUGAAAUUGGAAGAAGACACAUUGGAGACUAUAACUGACACAAAAAAAAAGUUAGAAUAUGAGUUUUGGAUCGAAGUGUGGCAUUGAACUUCAAGUUAUAAAUUAAAGAACUCUUGUCAUUUGGAGAAAGGAUUAUUAAAUUGGAUAAUUCUUAAGAUAGGGUAUUAUGAGUUAGUUUAGCCACUUGGAUUAAGUUUUUCGUUAAAGGAUGAGAGUGAUUUGCUUUGGACAUAGAUAUAUGAAAAGAAUUUUGGUAAUAACAUUGUGAAAAUACAUAUAGAGGGCUAUAGAUGACAGAAAAAGGAAAGUAAGGAUAUGAGAUUUUGGAAUGAAGUUUGACAUUGGACUUAAAGUUUAAGAUUAAAUAACUAUUGUCAUUGUUUGGAGAAACAAUUAUUCAAAUUGAUUAAUUAUUGAGAUAGUGCACUAAGACGAAAUUUGCCUAUUGGAUUAAGUUUUUAUUUGAUGAUGAGAUGAUUAGCUACGGACAUGGAUAUAGGAAAAAACAUUAGAUGUUCAACUAAAAUUGGAAACAGAUGCAUAGAAGAUUGUUGAUGAUGCAAAAGGAAAAGUUAGGAUAUAAGAGUUUUGGAUUAAAGUGUGACACUUUACUUCAAAUUUAGGAAUAAGGAGGUGAUUGUCAUCUUUUGGAGAAAAGAUUAUCAAAUUGAACGAGUGUUGAGGGAGUAGGGAAGGAAGAAAAGUAGAAAUGAGAAAAUACCAAAAUAAAAGACAAGAAAUAUCAAGAAAAGUGAGACGAUGGUGAUGGUUAUUGAUCCGGUUUUUAGCAUAGUAUUGUACCAAAAAGUCUAUAUUACCCAUCAUUACCCUAGAGCCGGACUAGGGUAAUGAUGGGUAAUAAAUACAUUUUGGUACCAUCAUCUACUAAAAGCCAAAUCAAUAAACAUGACCGCCUUCUCAAUUUUCAUGUUUUUUCUUGUCUUUUAUUUGGGCAUUUUCUUUUCCAGUUUCUUACUUCAACUAGCCAAUUGGAUUAAGUUUUUAUUUAAGAGAUAUUUGAUUUGUCAUGGACAAGUAUAUAGUAAAAAAAGUUUGGCUAGACAAAUGAAAUUCGUGAAAAUCAAAUGGAUGACUAUAAAUGGUACAAAAAUAAAAGUAAGGAUAUACGAGUUUUAGAUGAAAGAAUUCUUGCCAUUGUUUGAAGAAAUGAUUAUUCAAUUUGAUUAAGUGUUGAGAUAGUGCAUUAAGAGUGAGACUUGCCUACUAGAUUAAGUUUUUAUUUGAGAGAUGAGGUGAAUUGUCAUGGACAUGAAUAUAGGAAAAAAACGUUUGGAUAUACAAAUAAAAUUGGAAACAGUUACAUGAAGGACUAUAGAUGACACAAAAUGAAAAGUUAGUAUAUGAGAGUUUUGGAUUGAAGUUUUGCAUAAAAUAAGUUCUUGCUAUUGGUUGGAUAAUGAAUUAUUAAAUUGGAUUAAGUAUUAAGACGAUGAACUAGAAGUGACACUAUCCAAUUGGAUCGAAUUUUUAUUGAAGGGGUGUGGUGUUUCGUCGUUGUAAUGGAUAUAAGAAAAAAAGUUUGGCUAUACAAAUAAAGUUGAAGAAAGACACGUUGAGGACAAUAGACGGGCCAAAAAGAAAAAUAUGGUUUGAGGUAUGACAUUGGAUUUGAAGUCUUGGAUUAAAGAACUUCUACAAUUGUUUGGAUAAAAGUAUGAAAUUGGAUUAAAUGUUGAGAUAGUGCACUGAAAGUUAGAUUAGUCUACUGGAUUAAGUUUUAAUUAAUGGAAUGAGAUCAUUUGCUUUGGACAUGGUUAUAGAAAAAAACAUUGUACAAUACAAAUGAAAUUGGAAAAAGACACAUGAGUGACUAUAAACGACAUAAAAAGGAACUAUUGGAUAUGAGAGCUUUUGAUUGAUGUGUGGCAUACGAGUAAAAAUUUAGGAUUGAAGAACUCUUGCCAUUAUUUGGAGAAAGGAUUAUUAAAUUAGAUUAGUGUUGAGAUAAUGCUCUAAAAAUGUAAUUAGCCAAUUCAAUCAAGAUUUUAUUUAUGGGAUAAGGUGAUUUUUCGUAGAGAUGGAUAUAAGACUUCAAGUUUUGAAUUAAGGAAUAACUCUUGCCAUUGUUUGAAGAAAUGAUUAUCAAAAGACACAUGAAGGACUAUAAAUGACACAUAAAGGAAAGUAAGGAUACAUGAGUUUUUAUUGAAGUGUGGCAUUUAACUUCAAGUGUUGCAUUAAAGAACCCUUGCCGUUUGGAGAAAAGAUUAUUAAAUUGGUGUUAAGAUAGGUACACUAUGAAUCGAUUUAGGCUUUGUGAUUUUGAAUUAAAGUGUGAUAUUUGACUAUAAGUUUUGAACUAAAGAACGUUUGCCAUUGUUUGUCGAAACAAUUAAAAAAUUGGAUUAGGUGUUGAAAUAGUGUACUAGGAGUGAGAUUAGUCUACUAGAUUAAGUUUUAAUUUGAGGGAUUAAGUUUUUUGCCAUGGACAUGGAUAUAAGAAUAGAACGUUUGACUAUACAAAUGAAAUUGGAAAAAGACAUGUAGAGAACUAUAGACAGCCCAUAAAGAAAAGUUUGCACAUGAGUGUUUUGGAUUAAAGAACUUUUGUCAUCCUUUAACGAAAUAAUUAUCAAAUUGGAUUAGUGUUGACAUAGUGCACUAUAAAGUGAGAUUAGUCAAUGGAAUUAAGUUUUUAUUAAAGGGACGAGGUGAUUUGUUGUGAACGUGGAUAUAGGAAAAAACAUUCGACUAUACAAAUGAAAAUUAUGAAAAGACUCAUGGGGGAUUUCCGGUGGCACAAAAGGAUAAAUCAGGAUAUGCGAGUUUUGGAUUGUAGUGUGACAUUAAACUUUAAGUUUAAAAUUAUACAUCUCUUGUAAUUGUUUGGAGAAAGGAUUAUCAAAGUUGGUUGGUUUUGAUAUAGUGCACUAAGUGUCAGAUUAGCCAAUUAGAUUAUAUUUUUAUUUAAGGGCGAAUGAUGAUUUGUUGUGGACAUUAAUAUUGGAAAAAUUAUUUGGUUAUACAAAUGACAUUGAAAAAAGACACAUGAUGGACUAUAAAAGGCUCAAAGAGAAAAGUUGAGAUAUGUGACUUUUGGAUUGAAGUGUGAAAUUGAAGUUUAAUUUAAAAUUAUCUCUUGCUAUUGUUUGGAGAAAAGAUUAACAAAUUGGAUUAGUAAUGUUAGUACACUAAAAGUGAGAGGAGCUAAUUGGAUUAAGUUUUUUUAAGAAGGUGUUUCGCAUGGGCCAUGGAUAUACAGAAAAAAGUUUGGCUACACAAAUGACAUAGGAAAAGGACACAUAGAGGACUCAAAGACCAAACAAAAAGAAAGUUAAAAAGAUGAAUCUUGAAUUGAAGUGUGACAUUGGAUUCUUAGUUUAGGAUUAAAUGACUCAUGCCAUUUUUUUUUAAACAUGUGGAAUGUGGCAUUAGCAUCACACUUAAAGCUUUUAGUGAAGUAUGACAUUGGCCAUUUAGUUUAUGAUUAAAGUCUCUUUUUAGUUGAUAGUAUAUGAGACUUAAAGCUCAAAGUACAAGAAUAUUGUACUAAGAGCAAAUGAACUAGGGGAAUACAAACUAAAAUGAAAACUUAGGCAACAACUAGAAGAAAGCGUGCAAAAACAAAGUCAAAGAGAAAUGUAACAAACGACAUAAAGCAUUUUCAAGACAAAACAACUGUAGAAAGCUAAAAAGAUAGCAAAAAUUUGACAACUCUUCAAGAGGAAACCAUUUGAAUAUAAUAACUUGCACGCUCAAAUCUUCAAUAUGAAAGGAAAACGAGACAUGCAAAGGAGAAGCUGCUGGUUGCGUUAGAACGGUUCUUGUAAGUGUCAUCCUGAACUCAAAGGAAAUCCAAUAAAUAUUUUAGAACAAACAAAAAUUGAUUCCUAAAGAACUCCCCCGAAAAAACUUCCCUUGGGCAAACAAUAAAAAUGAAGACCAAAACAUAAAAGCCAUAUCAAGUAAGUUACCAUAAUCCAGAAGGCUUAAAUUUAUCCAUCCACGCAAGAGAAAUUUGGAUUAAAGAACUUUUGCCAUUAUUUGGAGAAAAGAGUAUCGAAUUGGAUCAAGUUGUUAUUUAAUGGAUAUGUGUUUUUUUUGUGGAUUUGGAUAUAGCUAUAGAUAUUUGGCUAGACAACUAAAAAAGAAAAGUUAAGUUAUGUGAUUUCUGUAUUGAAUAACAUUUCUCUACAUGUUUUGGAUUAAAGAACUUUUGUCAUUGUUUGUCGAAAGAAUUAUAAUAUUGGAUUUGGUGUUGAGAUAGUGCACUAGGAGUGAGAUUAGCUAUAAUUGAAUAAAGUUUUUAUGUACGAGAUUUCCCAUAGACAUGGAUAUAGGUAAAAAAGGUCAGCGAUACAAAUGUAAUUGGUAAAAAGAUACAAGGACGACUAUAAACAACACAAGAAGAAAAGUAAAUAUAUUCAAGUUUCAGAAUGAAGUGUGGCAUUGGACUCCAAGUUUUGGAUUAGAGAACUCUUGCAAUGUUUGGAGGAAAGAUUAUUCAAUUUGUUUAAACUGUUGAAAUAGUGCACUAAUAGUAAAAUUAGCCCAUUAGAUUAAGUUUUUAUUUGAGGAAAAACGUGAUUUGUUGUGGUUGUGGAUAUAAGGAAAAAAGUUUGGCCAUACAAAUGAAAUUGAGAAAAGACACAAGGACUGUGGGUGGCAAAAAAUGAUAAGUUAGGAUAUACGAGUUUUGGAUUGUAAUGUGGCAUUAGACUUCAUGUUUUGGAUUAAAGAACUGUUGCCAUUGUUUGGAAAAAAAAUUAUCAACCAUUAUCAAAUUGGAUUAAGUUAUGAGAUGAUGCACUAAGUGUGAGAUUAGCCAAUUGGAUUAAGUUUUUACUUGAGGGAUUAGAUGAGAUCCCAUGGACAUGGUUAUAGGAAAAAAAAAAAGCUUCGUUAUUCAAAUAUAAUUGGAAAAAGCGACAUGGAGGACCGUAAACGACA